AUAUAUAGAGAGAGAGAGAGAGAGAGAGAGAGAGAGAGAAAUACAUUUAAAAUAUAUCAUCAAACAAAAGUAUGCAAUGGGAUUCCAUUUGAAACAUAAACUACACCGAGUACACAUUGUAAAUCUGUAACGAUUCAA
Molecule: long non-coding RNA, 138 nt
Organism: Juglans microcarpa x Juglans regia
Lineage: Eukaryota; Viridiplantae; Streptophyta; Magnoliopsida; Fagales; Juglandaceae
Exons: 2
Source: RefSeq, a predicted model, not a curated record